Long non-coding RNA from Stomoxys calcitrans (stable fly), 535 nucleotides. RefSeq lists it as uncharacterized. NCBI's taxonomy places the organism in Eukaryota, Metazoa, Arthropoda, Insecta, Diptera, Muscidae. The transcript is spliced from 3 exons. The record is from RefSeq and is a predicted model, not a curated record.
UACCAGUGACCAAGAUUAGCUAUAUUUUUCAUUCGCUUUUGUUUCAUAAAAUUCUUUGACAAGGAGAAUUGCACUAUCUAUCGAUAUUAAAAAUGAACUACGGUAAUCUAGCUCAACGUUAAAGCAGUUAAAUUAAAUGCCUGAAAUUAUGUUUUGCAUAAAAAAUGCACUAAAACCGGCAAUAUUAAGUUUGAUGUUGGCAUUUUUUGAUUAAGAGCGUGUGUCGGACGAUAGAAAUCUCCUAUGGUGAGCUGUAAAAAUGACGCAGGGGCGGUUCUUUACACUGUAAAUAAGAUGUGCGCGCUACAUAAUAAUACAGGAAAAAGGCUAAAAAUAAUGAUUAUUUGCAUAAUGAAUUUUCCAUUACUGCUAGCAGUUAUAUUGCAAAUGCGAACGUUACAAUAUGGAGAUAUUGUAGGUCUUGCUUUGGAAAAGAGGAAAACACAGCGAGAAGUUUUGUACAUGGAGCCUUCUUCACGAACCAUUACUUCAAUAAACUACACCAUUUCAAUAAACAACAUACACAGAACUGUCC